ACGGAAGGCAGCAGUGGGGAAUAUUGCACAAUGGGGGAAACCCUGAUGCAGCAACGCCGCGUGAGUGAAGAAGUAUUUCGGUAUGUAAAGCUCUAUCAGCAGGGAAGAUAAUGACGGUACCUGACUAAGAAGCUCCGGCUAAAUACGUGCCAGCAGCCGCGGUAAUACGUAUGGAGCAAGCGUUAUCCGGAUUUACUGGGUGUAAAGGGUGCGUAGGUGGCACUGCAAGUCAGAUGUGAAAGACCGGGGCUCAACCCCGGGGCUGCAUUUGAAACUGCGGGGCUGGAGUGCAGGAGAGGCAAGCGGAAUUCCUAGUGUAGCGGUGAAAUGCGUAGAUAUUAGGAGGAACACCAGUGGCGAAGGCGGCUUACUGGACUGUAACUGACGUUGAGGCUCGAAAGCGUGGGGAGCAAACAGGAUUAGAUACCCUGGUA
RNAcentral lists this ribosomal RNA (434 nucleotides) under uncultured bacterium. RNAcentral's name for it is "partial 16S ribosomal RNA". It matches the Rfam family "Bacterial small subunit ribosomal RNA", at positions 341 to 792 of the family's 1533-position model. The record is from RNAcentral.